Molecule: long non-coding RNA, 238 nt
Organism: Telopea speciosissima
Lineage: Eukaryota; Viridiplantae; Streptophyta; Magnoliopsida; Proteales; Proteaceae
Exons: 3
Source: RefSeq, a predicted model, not a curated record
AUACCCAGAAAGAUUUGUCCCUGAAACGGUGCAUGCUUGGUUGUGGGGUUCAUUAGGGACCACAAACCACAUAAAGAAGGUUGCCCAAAGGGUAAGUGAAACCGAAGCUAAUCCAUAGCCCCAUAGCAGAAUAACAGAACAUUCUCUCUCACCAGCAUCAAAUUAUUGGGUUAUUGUUCCUGUCAAUUUCAUGAAAAGUUCAAAUCAGAACUGAGGAAGAACAUGAUUUAAAAUUUAA